Molecule: ribosomal RNA, 275 nt
Filed under: uncultured bacterium
Lineage: Bacteria
Description: partial 16S ribosomal RNA
Rfam family: Bacterial small subunit ribosomal RNA
Source: RNAcentral
CCUACGGGGGGCUGCAGUGGGGAAUUUUCCGCAAUGGGCGAAAGCCUGACGGAGCAACGCCGCGUGGGGGAAGAAGGUCUUUGGAUUGUAAACCCCUUUUCUCAGGGAAGAAGCCCUGACGGUACCUGAGGAAUAAGCCUCGGCUAACUCCGUGCCAGCAGCCGCGGUAAUACGGAGGAGGCAAGCGUUAUCCGGAAUUAUUGGGCGUAAAGCGUUCGUAGGUGGCUAUUCAAGUCGGCGGUCAAAGACCCGAGCUUAACUCGGGAAAGGCCGUG